UUUAUGGAGAGUUUGAUCCUGGCUCAGGAUGAACGCUGGCGGCGUGCUUAACACAUGCAAGUCGAACGGUGAAGCCCCGCUUGCGGGGUGGAUCAGUGGCGAACGGGUGAGUAACACGUGAGCAACCUGCCCUGGACUCUGGGAUAAGCGCUGGAAACGGCGUCUAAUACUGGAUAUGAGCUCUCAUCGCAUGGUGGGGGUUGGAAAGAUUUUUUGGUCUGGGAUGGGCUCGCGGCCUAUCAGCUUGUUGGUGAGGUAAUGGCUCACCAAGGCGUCGACGGGUAGCCGGCCUGAGAGGGUGACCGGC
RNAcentral lists this ribosomal RNA (307 nucleotides) under Microbacterium ureisolvens. RNAcentral's name for it is "bacterial SSU rRNA". It matches the Rfam family "Bacterial small subunit ribosomal RNA", at positions 1 to 308 of the family's 1533-position model. Lineage: Bacteria; Bacillati; Actinomycetota; Actinomycetes; Micrococcales; Microbacteriaceae. The record is from RNAcentral.